Long non-coding RNA from Pantherophis guttatus, 289 nucleotides. RefSeq lists it as uncharacterized. Lineage: Eukaryota; Metazoa; Chordata; Lepidosauria; Squamata; Colubridae. The record is from RefSeq and is a predicted model, not a curated record.
GAUUGGCCUGUCCCACUCACUCCAGCAAAAGGGUUUGUUGUGGACCCCACUGGCACAGGAAUUUCAGCUGGUGCGGUCAAGCAGAAGAGCCUAUUCCAUUGUGGUCCUAUGGAACAUUUUAGCACUGGAAGUGAGAACUGCCCCCACCCUUUUGGCUUUCCAGAAAGGGCAGCAGCUACCCAGAGGGAUCAACAUUAUCAAUGGGAAGAAAAAGUACAAGAUGUUCCAAGGAAACGGAGAGACAUCAAGUGGCAAACAGGAUACAUUUAAAGAGCACAAUUUACUAGUA